AGUCACGUGCGUCUGUUCCCGUUAGCAACGCUUCUAAACAACCCGCCCUACCUCGCAUCUGGCGCGGUCCAGUGUUUCUCGACGACCCCGGGCUUGGUGAGGCUGAGCCUGGCCUCUCCCGAUUUUCCAGACCGUUGACAUCCCCCCCCGCCGCAAUGGCAGAGUUGGGUCUAAAUGAGCACCAUCAAAAUGAAGUUAUUAAUUAUAUGCGUUUUGCUCGCUCAAAAAGAGGCUUGCGACUCAAAACUGUGGAUUCCUGCUUCCAAGACCUCAAGGAGAGCAGGCUUGUGGAGGAGACCUUCACCGUCGAUGAAGUCUCUGAGGUGCUGAAUGGGUUGCAGGCUGUGGUCCACAGCGAGGUGGAGUCUGAGCUCAUCAACACAGCCUACACCAACGUGCUACUUCUGCGGCAGCUUUUCUCACAAGCCGAGAAGUGGUACCUCAAGCUGCAGACAGAUAUCUCUGAACUUGAAAACAGAGAAUUAUUAGAGCAAGUUGCAGAAUUUGAAAAAGCGGAAUUUACAUCUUCAAAUAAAAAGUCCAUCAUAGACAGCAUGAAGCCAAAACUGGCUCCGCUUCACGAAGGUGGAGCGGCAGAACUCCUGAACAAGGAAAUUAUAAGACUUCAAGAAGAGAAUGAGAAAUUGAAGUCAAGACUGAAGACCAUUGAAUCACAGGCAACAGAUGCAUUGGAUGAGAAGUCAAAGCUGGAGAGAGCACUGCAAGAUUUACAGCUUGAGCACGGGAAUCAAAAGGAUUUUAUAAAGGCCCAAGACUUGAGUGACUUGGAAAACACAGUUGCUGCUUUGAAGAGUGAGUUUCAGAAGACACUUAAUGACCAGACAGAAAACCAGAAAUCCCUGGAAGAGAAUCUAGCAACGGCCAAGCACGACCUACUGAGGGUACAGGAGCAGCUGAGCAUGGCUGAAAAGGAAUUAGAGAAGAAAUUCCAACAAACAGCAGCUUUUCGAAACAUGAAGGAGAUUCUUACUAAGAAGAAUGACCAAAUCAAAGACCUGAGGAAAAGACUGGCAAAAUAUGAACCUGAAGAUUAGAAACUGAUGACUUCAUCUGGAAGCUGCCACAACAUGAAAGAACAAGCCCUUUCUCACCUCAGGUGAAGACAUCGGAAGAAUAAAAAGGCAACUCACUGACUGAGAAGAAAUCUGUAAAACACAAAACUGACAAAGGGCUCAUAUCCAGAAUAUGUAAAGAACCAAACCCACAAGCCGUUUAACGGUUGGCAGAAGACUUAGGCCCUCCAGGAAAGGAUGUGCAAAUAACCCCAUCAGCCUAUGGCAAGGUACGCAAUACGGAGCUUAAAAGCUACGGUUAAGGAUCACUGCACACCCACCAGGUAGGGUAGACCUUUGGAAACAGCGACAAGUGUCAGAGGCACAGCCAGUGUGUCAACUGGCACAACCUCUGGUGCACGCAUGCCUGCCUCAGGGCCCCGAGUUCACGCCAUGAGUGGGUUCACGCACCCAAGGACUCAUACUAGAUGUCGUUAACACUAUUCAUCACAGCCACAAACUGGAAACAACACAGACACCCAUCAGCCGUGAUGGACGCACAUUCACACCUCCGAAUACUAGGCGGCAGGGAUAAAGGACACUGUCCACUGCGCGCUGGAAUGUGAGUAAGUCCCACUGAGGAAGCCAGGCAGCACAGCCACAUUGCAAAAGUUCAGUUUUGUAAAGGUCAAAGCAGCUGAAACAGACCCAUGGGAUAGAAACCAGGGGGGUGGGUUCCUCGGGCG
Molecule: RNA transcript, 1759 nt
Organism: Bubalus bubalis (water buffalo)
Lineage: Eukaryota; Metazoa; Chordata; Mammalia; Artiodactyla; Bovidae
Gene: LZTFL1
Gene name: leucine zipper transcription factor like 1
Exons: 11
Source: RefSeq, a predicted model, not a curated record